ACGAACGCUGGCGGCGUGCUUAACACAUGCAAGUCGAACGGAAAGGCCCUGCUUUUGUGGGGUGCUCGAGUGGCGAACGGGUGAGUAACACGUGAGUAACCUGCCCUUGACUUUGGGAUAACUUCAGGAAACUGGGGCUAAUACCGGAUAGGAGCUCCUGCUGCAUGGUGGGGGUUGGAAAGUUUCGGCGGUUGGGGAUGGACUCGCGGCUUAUCAGCUUGUUGGUGGGGUAGUGGCUUACCAAGGCUUUGACGGGUAGCCGGCCUGAGAGGGUGACCGGCCACCUUGGGACUGAGAUACGGCCCAGACUCCUACGGGAGGCAGCAGUGGGGAAUAUUGCACAAUGGGCGGAAGCCUGAUGCGGCAACGCCGCGUGCGGGAUGAUGGCCUUCGGGUUGUAAACCGCUUUCGCCUGUGACGAAGCGUGAGUGACGGUAAUGGGUAAAGAAGCACCGGCUAACUACGUG
This 467-nucleotide ribosomal RNA is filed under the name uncultured bacterium. RNAcentral's name for it is "partial 16S ribosomal RNA". It matches the Rfam family "Bacterial small subunit ribosomal RNA", at positions 29 to 507 of the family's 1533-position model. The record is from RNAcentral.